This is a long non-coding RNA of Amphiprion ocellaris (clown anemonefish), 644 nucleotides long. NCBI's taxonomy places the organism in Eukaryota, Metazoa, Chordata, Actinopteri, Pomacentridae. The record is from Ensembl.
CGAUCUUAAAAUAAAUCAAUAUUGAAUUUUUUAUAGAGCGUUAAAGUUGUGCGAAGCCAGGGGGCGGGGCUACUUGAUUGACAGUCUGGUCUGGAAUGAUUGACAGGUCCUCUGGAGGAGGCAGCAGAGACUCUGCUCUCCUCGUUUGGAUUAAUUCUGAUAUAAUAACUGUUGGUUUAUUUAUCGGUGGAGCAGCAGAACCUUUUCCACAGACAGUUUUCCUGCCCGUUGGCUUGUUUUAACCAGUUUUCUGCCUUCGGCUGAUUCUACCAGCAGACACUGAAAGGACUCUGAUAGUUCGAGUGAAAGUAGCAGUUCCUCCUGAAGAUCAGAGAUUGCAGCAUCUGAGGGCCUCUUCAAAAGAAGACGUAGUUGAUGAAGGCGUUCUGGAGCAGGACCAGAAAGACCACGACCAAGCAGCCUUGAGAUCUUAGGCAGCGUCUCCCUCAGGUGGCCACCAACCACUGGAACACAUCUCCAAAGUUCUGCUGGACCAGCUCAGCUUCCCCUCAGAAGAAGUGGCGCCACCUGCCAGAUGAAGGAGCCUUUUGAGAGGCAGCUGGCAUCGUGAUUGGACUGUACUUUGGUCUGUUCCAAUCCAGCUUCAGCUCCAGAGACGGCAGGCGGGACGAGUCAACGGAGGC